This is a long non-coding RNA of Crotalus tigris (Tiger rattlesnake), 150 nucleotides long. RefSeq lists it as uncharacterized. The transcript is spliced from 3 exons. The record is from RefSeq and is a predicted model, not a curated record. NCBI's taxonomy places the organism in Eukaryota, Metazoa, Chordata, Lepidosauria, Squamata, Viperidae.
AUCAACCCUGUGAGAGCUUACCAAUUCCCAAGGCAUGAUCUGAAGAUAUCUGACACACCUGCCUUGCUGAAGCAAAGCAAGUGACGAAGGUUGGAAGUUUUGAUUAUUCCCAUUCAUAAGGCGAUUCUGCCUGCUCAGCAAAAGGAGGUU